RNAcentral lists this long non-coding RNA (295 nucleotides) under Capsella rubella. Its description in RNAcentral is "long non-coding RNA (CRUB_LNC001177)". Lineage: Eukaryota; Viridiplantae; Streptophyta; Magnoliopsida; Brassicales; Brassicaceae. The record is from RNAcentral.
CCUUACCACUUGUCUUAGCCCAUAUUGUUUUAUUCAUUCAUGUAGCUCGUCAGAAUAGUUCCAAAACACUUAAUGCCACAUUUAUGUUUUCGAGUUUUAUUACAUACCUUUGAUCUAGUAAUCGCAUUAUAUUAAUCACUUGACCAGCCAAUAGAAUUAUCUUCAUUACUUGAUUAGCCAAUCAAAAAAAAAAAAUUAAUAAACAAAAAGGUACUAUCCGAAGUCAAAACCAUGUCUAUAGGAUUCAAAAUUUGCUGGCCCUGGACCAGUCUAAUCUUUAUGUCAUAUCAUUAGC